CAGAGGGUGCAAGCGUUGUUCGGAAUUACUGGGCGUAAAGGGCGUGUAGGCGGUUUAGCAAGUCAGAUGUGAAAUCCCGGGGCUUAACUCCGGAAGUGCAUUUGAAACUGCUAGGCUAGAGUGCAGUAGAGGAUGGUGGAAUUCCCAGUGGAGAGGUGAAAUUCGUAGAUAUUGGGAGGAACACCGGUGGCGAAGGCGGCCAUCUGGGCUGUAACUGACGCUGAGGCGCGAGAGCGUGGGUAGCAAACAGGAUUAGAUACCCUGGUAGUCCACGCUGUAAACUAUGGAUACUCGCUGUGGCUGGUAUUGACCCCGGCCGUAGCCAAGUUAACACGUUAAGUAUCCCGCCUGGGGAGUACGGUCGCAAGAUUA
This 372-nucleotide ribosomal RNA is filed under the name uncultured organism. RNAcentral's name for it is "bacterial SSU rRNA". It matches the Rfam family "Bacterial small subunit ribosomal RNA", at positions 526 to 896 of the family's 1533-position model. The record is from RNAcentral.